AACAUACAUUGAGAAGAUGGAAGCCAUGAAGAAUGAAAAAGCUGAAGGAAAAGACAAUCGAUCAUUCUUGGCUAAAUAUUGGAUGUACAUUAUUCCUGUUGUGCUGAUAAUGCUGUUCUCAGGAGGUGGCCAGGAAGGAGCUCGCUAAACCUCUCAUAGGAGUGUAAAUUAUUUUUAUGAGAACAGUUGAUCUCAUUCACUUCUUUCCUGUUAAGUUUUAGCUUUUGAUUGUAUAUGUGCUAGUGCAGAAAACCUUCUAGAUUUAAUACAGCAUAUAGUUAGUCACUUUUAGCACUGUUAAAACAUUGUACAGAAUAUGCUGUAUGAGGAAUAGUAUCUGUAUGUUCUUUUGAAGUGAAAGUUUGAAUGCAGCAAUUACAGUAUAGUUGCUUGUGUUUAGUUAUGUUUGAUGGAAAAUGGAUGAAUGAUCUUAAAGAAAUUAAAAAACUGUGAAUAAGUACAUGUAGGUAAUUGUAUUGCUAUACAAAUUCAUGUAAAUCUGCUUGUGUGUUUUUACUUAAACUAUAAACAAAUAUGUUAA
Macrobrachium nipponense is the source of this 541-nucleotide long non-coding RNA. RefSeq lists it as uncharacterized. NCBI's taxonomy places the organism in Eukaryota, Metazoa, Arthropoda, Malacostraca, Decapoda, Palaemonidae. The record is from RefSeq and is a predicted model, not a curated record. The transcript is spliced from 2 exons.